This 596-nucleotide long non-coding RNA is filed under the name Zonotrichia albicollis (white-throated sparrow). RNAcentral describes it as "lncRNA (ENSZALG00000003057.1)". Lineage: Eukaryota; Metazoa; Chordata; Aves; Passeriformes; Passerellidae. The record is from RNAcentral.
AUUGAACAAAACUGAAUUGAAUUUCACUUUUUGGUUUUAAUUUUGCCCGUGUCAGUUUUUAAGAUCUGCAAUUUCCAGAGCCAAAAGUGAGUUCCAGGUGCAUUUUUUUCUUUGCUUGUUUCAGGAAAUGAUCAUUUUGUUUAAAAUCCUUUUCCUCUUUACAGACCAAAGCCAGCAAAGCAAACGAAAGCCAAAAACCAAAACUAGUGACCAUGAAAAAAUGAGGGAUCAUGUGGAUUUGAAGAGGGAGAAAGCCAUGGAGGAUAAAGGUUUCUGUGCUGUGCCACAGGGGGAUUUCAGUGCAGAAGGAAAAUCCCUGGGGCUGGAGGGCGAUGGAGCCUCACUGGCCAGGGACAAACCCAUUAUAUUGCCCCUGCUGAGAGCCUUGAAUACUCCAGAAUUCACGGUAAACUCUCCGAAAUAAAUUGCUUUUUAUCCCAGAAAUUCAAAUUCAUGCAUUCAGCACCUUCCUUCCCCCAAAACAAUCCUGAUUAUUGUGUGGCAGAACAACCCAACAACACCGGGUAAAAGGAAUUUGAAGGUGCAAUGUGAGAAAGAAAGAAAAAAAAAAGCCAAAAUAUUCUUAUUUAUUAAAA